GAUGAACGCUGGCGGCGUGCCUAAUACAUGCAAGUCGAGCGAACGGACGAGAAGCUUGUUUCUCUGAUGUUAGCGGCGGACGGGUGAGUAACACGUGGAUAACCUACCUAUAAGACUGGGAUAACUUCGGGAAACCGGAGCUAAUACCGGAUAAUAUUUUGAACCGCAUGGUUCAAAAGUGAAAGACGGCCUUGCUGUCACUUAUAGAUGGAUCCGCGCUGCAUUAGCUAGUUGGUAAGGUAACGGCUUACCAAGGCAACGAUGCGUAGCCGACCUGAGAGGGUGAUCGGCCACACUGGAGCUGAGACACGGUCCAGACUCCUACGGGAGGCAGCAGUAGGGAAUCUUCCGCAAUGGGCGAAAGCCUGACGGAGCAACGCCGCGUGAGUGAUGAAGGUCUUCGGAUCGUAAAACUCUGUUAUUGGGGAAGAACAGAUGUGUAUGUAACUGUGCACAUCUUGACGGUACCUAAUCAGAAAGCCACGGCUAACUACGUG
RNAcentral lists this ribosomal RNA (497 nucleotides) under uncultured bacterium. RNAcentral's name for it is "partial 16S ribosomal RNA". It matches the Rfam family "Bacterial small subunit ribosomal RNA", at positions 28 to 507 of the family's 1533-position model. The record is from RNAcentral.